GAUGAACGCUGGCGGCGUGCCUAAUACAUGCAAGUCGAGCGAACGGACGAGAAGCUUGCUUCUCUGACGUUAGCGGCGGACGGGUGUGUAACACGUGGAUAACCUACCUAUAAGACUGGGAUAACUUCGGGAAACCGGAGCUAAUAGCGGAUAAUAUUUUGAACCGCAUGGUUGAAAAGUGAAAGACGGUCUUGCUGUCACUUAUAGAUGGUUCCGCGCUGCAUUAGCUAGUUGGUAAGGUAACGGCUUACCAAGGCAACGAUGCAUAGCCGACCUGAGAGGGUGAUCAGCCACACUGAGACUGAGACACGGUCCAGACUCCUACGGGAGCCGGCAGUAGGGAAUCGGGCGCAAUGAGCGGAGGCCUGACCGAGCAGCGCCGCGUGAGUGAUGAAGGUCUUCGGGUCGUAAAACUCUGUUAUUGGGGAAGAACAUAUUUGUAAGUAACUGUGCACAUCUUGACGGUACCUAAUCAGAGAGCCACGGCUAACUACGUG
RNAcentral lists this ribosomal RNA (497 nucleotides) under uncultured bacterium. RNAcentral's name for it is "partial 16S ribosomal RNA". It matches the Rfam family "Bacterial small subunit ribosomal RNA", at positions 28 to 507 of the family's 1533-position model. The record is from RNAcentral.